CCUACGGGCGGCAGCAGUGGGGAAUAUUGGACAAUGGGGGCAACCCUGAUCCAGCCAUGCCGCGUGUGUGAAGAAGGCCCUCGGGUUGUAAAGCACUUUCAGUGAGGAAGAACGCCUGGUGGUUAAUACCCAUCAGGAAAGACAUCACUCACAGAAGAAGCACCGGCUAACUCCGUGCCAGCAGCCGCGGUAAUACGGAGGGUGCGAGCGUUAAUCGGAAUUACUGGGCGUAAAGCGCGCGUAGGUGGCUUGAUAAGCCGGUUGUGAAAGCCCCGGGCUCAACCUGGGAACGGCAUCCGGAACUGUCAAGCUAGAGGGCAGGAGAGGAAGGUAGAAUUCCCGGUGUAGCGGUGAAAUGCGUAGAGGUCGGGAGGAAUACCAGUGGCGAAGGCGGCCUUCUGGACUGACACUGACACUGAGGUGCGAAAGCGUGGGUAGCAAACAGGAUUAGAUACCCCAGGAGUC
RNAcentral lists this ribosomal RNA (465 nucleotides) under Vreelandella stevensii. Its description in RNAcentral is "partial 16S ribosomal RNA". It matches the Rfam family "Bacterial small subunit ribosomal RNA", at positions 338 to 795 of the family's 1533-position model. Lineage: Bacteria; Pseudomonadati; Pseudomonadota; Gammaproteobacteria; Oceanospirillales; Halomonadaceae. The record is from RNAcentral.